Molecule: unclassified non-coding RNA, 205 nt
Filed under: Hevea brasiliensis (rubber tree)
Lineage: Eukaryota; Viridiplantae; Streptophyta; Magnoliopsida; Malpighiales; Euphorbiaceae
Source: RNAcentral
GCGCUCUCUCUCCCCAUUUCUCUCUGCAGAUCAUCUAUCCUUAAUACUAAAAAGGGAGUUAGGGGUGGAUUUCGGGUGUUUGCAGUAUUUGGGGAGGAAGGUGGGCCGCUAGAUAAGAAGAGUUUAUGGGGUACCAUCUUUGACGUUGAGGAUCCAAGGUCUAAGAUACCACGAUCUAAAGGGAAAUUCUUGGAUGUAAAUCAAG